AAUUAGUAGAGGAUGCUUUUGGUGCGGUGCCUUCCGAGUUCCCUGGAACGGGACGCCUUAGAGGGUGAGAGCCCCGUACGGUUGGACGCCUAGCCUCUGUAAAGCUCCUUC
Molecule: ribosomal RNA, 111 nt
Filed under: Sordariomycetes sp.
Lineage: Eukaryota; Fungi; Ascomycota; Sordariomycetes
Description: partial large subunit ribosomal RNA
Source: RNAcentral